UACGAAGGGGGGCUAGCGUUGCUCGGAAUCACUGGGCGUAAAGGGUGCGUAGGCGGGUCUUUAAGUCAGGGGUGAAAUCCUGGAGCUCAACUCCAGAACUGCCUUUGAUACUGAAGAUCUUGAGUCCGGGAGAGGUGAGUGGAACUGCGAGUGUAGAGGUGAAAUUCGUAGAUAUUCGCAAGAACACCAGUGGCGAAGGCGGCUCACUGGCCCGGUACUGACGCUGAGGAGCGAAAGUGUGGGGAGCGAACAGG
RNAcentral lists this ribosomal RNA (254 nucleotides) under uncultured bacterium. RNAcentral describes it as "partial 16S ribosomal RNA". It matches the Rfam family "Bacterial small subunit ribosomal RNA", at positions 524 to 776 of the family's 1533-position model. The record is from RNAcentral.